Non-coding RNA from Phoenix dactylifera (date palm), 6397 nucleotides. The record is from RefSeq and is a predicted model, not a curated record. NCBI's taxonomy places the organism in Eukaryota, Viridiplantae, Streptophyta, Magnoliopsida, Arecales, Arecaceae.
UUCCACCCCACCUCUCUUCCCCACUUCUCUCUCACCCUCUCUAUUUGCCCCUUUCCUCUCUCUCUUUAUAUUUAUUUCCCACCCCUAUCCCCCUCCCCCACCCCAUCCUCCCCUCUCUCUCUCCUCCUCGUUUUAUUUAUCCAUCUGGGAACCUUCUCCUACGCUCCAUCCGACGACCCACAGGCGCCCACGUCCUCGUCGUCUUCUUCGCCCGCCCCCCACGCCCCGUCACCCCCUUUCUAUAAAUACCCGCCCCGCCCUUAUCCCCGUCUCCGCUUUGGCUUUCUAGGGUUUCCACUAAUACGGCGAGACCUGGUGGAAUUCUUCGAUUUGGACGGCGGAAUCCCUCGCGUUCGCGCCCUUUCGGUCUUUCUUGAUGGGGAAAGAUUGAGGAAUCUGUGGUCGGUUGGUGUUUUCUUGGGGUGCCAUGGCGAUUAUGAAGAAUAGCCUUAGGGUUUCGAGGCUGGACGGUGAUUCCUCGCCGGGGAGUCGGGGCAGUGUGUCGAGUGAGGAGGACGAAGAGGAGGUCCGGACUCGGAGUUCGGCGUCGGAGACUGAUGGUGCCGAUGUCUCGGAUGUCGACUCUGGGAUGGGAUCCGACGAGUUCGAUAUUUCCGAGCUUGCUGAGGCCGGGACUGAGUUAUGCCAAGUGGGGAACCAGAGCUGCAGCAUCCCGCUGGAGCUCUAUGAUCUUCCUGACUUGGGGACGGUCCUCUCGCUGGAGACCUGGAACGACUGCCUCUCUGAGGAGGAGCGGUUUGCCUUGGCUGAGUACCUCCCUGAUAUGGACCAGGAGACGUUUGGCCGGACUCUGAAGGAGCUGUUCUCGGCGCAAAACGUCCACUUUGGGAGCCCGCUUGUCGAGCUGUUCAAUCGGCUGAAAGCCGGGCUUUGUGACCCGAGGAUUGUUCUUUACCGCCGGGGAGUGAACUUCUUUCAGAGGCGCCAGCACUACCAUUACCUGUGCAAGUAUCAGAAUGCUAUGGUGGGAAGCCUUUUCCGGAUAAGGGAUGCUUGGCAGAAUUGUGCAGGGUAUGGCAUCGAAGAAAGGCUUCGGCUGUUGAAUAUUCUGAGGAGCCAGAGGCCUUUGUGUUAUGAGAGGGAUGGAGACAUGGAGUCUGAGACGGAUUCAGAGAGUGGGGAUUCAGGUGAUCGUUACUGGAAUAAAAGGUUUAAAAUGGAUCGGCGGGCAGUGCAGUCAUCAAGGCUUUCCUUUGAUAUCAUGUCUCGUGGGAGUGGUAUGCCUAUGGAGCAGAUGAAGAUUGGGAAAGAAAACUCAAAGGGGGUGCUGAAGGUUGCCGCUCCCAAAGUCUCUGCCCAAAAGGAGUACUUGGGAGCAGCAGGUCAGUAUCCCUCUGCUGCUAAGCAUAGUGCGGAGGCAAAGACUAGAAUGCCCAUGUCGCUGUUAUCUCUUCCCUGGCAGGAUCAAGUUGCAGACUAUGAUUUGGGGAAUUCUCAAAGGCCUAGACAUCAGAUGAGUGAUGAUCAGGAUGAUUUUGAGGAGAAGGGUUAUGAGAUGGGCUUGCAGGGAGGCUGGAAUGCACUUUGUGGAAAUGCGGCAACCAGGGCUAACUUGCUGAAACUAGGAAAGAAGAAUGAAUUGCGAAAAAGAGAUGGCAGAGGUAUAUUUGGCGAUGACGGCCCUGAUGGUUAUGAUAGGUUGCCUCAUUAUCAAGGUAGGAGUAGGAAUUCUGAUCAGGCGGUCACUAUAGCUUCUUAUGAUCAUCGAUCCCUUGAUACCCUGAAGAAGUAUUCUGAGGAGAGGACAUAUCCGGCCAGAGAGCGGCCUCAGCAUCAACCUCUGAAAGGAAGUCAGGUGGACCAGUCAGCUGGCAGUCACCCCUUUCAGCAUAACAAAAUGCUUGAAGAAGCCAUUUCCAUGGACAGAGGCAAGAAAUGGAAGGUUAGGGAUGGGAAUAAAACUGGCAAAAGUAGAGUUGGACACUAUUCCAAGAUCAAGUCUUAUAAAACUACCCCAGCACAGAUGGAUGAUUCAUACUUCCACUCUGAUCUUAGAGCCAAAACAUUACAAGGAAAGAUCAAGAAUAAGUCUCCUCAGUAUGAGGGAAUGGGUAUGAACGAUGCAAGGGGCUCUACGAUGUACUCCCAAAGUGAGGAGACGGAAUCCGAUUCAUCAGACCAGGUUGAGGAAGAUGGAGGUACUAAUCAUUCAGUGAGGAAGUUGGGGCAUUUAAGUGGUGACCUGGAGGUCUAUCACUUAGGAGUUGCUAAAUCAUUGUCUGAUUCUAAAAAGGUCAACAAGCUCACGAAGAUGGAUCAAAAAGUGUAUUCCCAUUUUGCUGACAGAGCCACAAGCAUUUGCACAAAAGAAGUAGAACCUUAUGCUACAAAAGGGAAGCACAAGGGCAAAACGAAUGAGCCCAAUUACUUGUCUGAUGUUAAAUUGAAGAAGAAGGGCCAAAUUCCAAAGUCCAAUGAGAAGUUACAGCCAUCAUUACUCAAGAUGUAUAAUACAGAGAAGAAGCGUAAGGGAAUGAUUGAUCUGGAAACUUCUUCACAGAAGCCAGUUUAUUUGCGUGAUUAUGGCAGGGGCAUGUUGGCUGAGCAUAAGGAGAAUUUGGAUGGAAGUUCCAGGUUACUGGGUAACCAGAUGCGAGUUUACAAAUCAGGGAAAGGAAAGCAACCUUCUGAUGCUCUUACAAUUGAGGCCAAUCAUUAUGAAAGACCAAACAUGUCCCUGUUAGAAUGCAACUCUGUGAAGAAGAAAACAAAAGUGAAGGCUGAAGGUAUGUGUGUUGACGAGCCAGAUGAACCUCUUUACCAACAGUCUAGUCCAAAGCAGCAAAUUGAUGACCACAAUGUCAAGAAGAAGAAGGGAAAAAGAAAAGCAGAUGCUGCAUCUGAUUCUUUGAUUGUGGCAACUUCUGAGCCGGUCAUUCCAGAAAAAGGAACAGCAGACAUAGAGCCAGAGGGAGAGUUGCAAAAGAAACCAUUUACCCUGAUCACACCUACAAUUCACACUGGUUUUUCAUUUUCCAUCAUACAUCUUCUUUCAGCUGUCCGAAAAGCAAUGGUUACUCCUCAUGCAGAAGAUUUGACAGUUAUUGGAAAUCAUCAUGAAAAGAAUGUCGGUAGACUGAUGAGAGAAGAGCAGAACAAUUUGCUUCAAGUGGCCAAUGGCACACAGGUGCUCCAUUCUCAUGAAAACAUGGACGGAUAUACUUCAGAGCAUGCUGGUCAGAAUAAGUUACCUUCUCUUACAGUUCAAGAGAUUGUCAAUCAUGUUAGAUCGAAUCCAGGAGAUCCAUGCAUUCUCGAAACACAGGAACCACUUCAGGAUUUAGUCCGUGGUGUACUGAAAAUAUUUUCCUCUAAGACAGCACCUCUAGGAGCAAAGGGUUGGAAGGCGCUUGUAUUCUAUGAGAAAUCAAACAAAAGUUGGAUGUGGAUUAGUCCGGUUACUACUAGUUCAUCUGAUAAUGAUACUGUUGAAGAGACCUCUGCCGAAGCUUGGGGCAUUCCCCACAAGAUGCUGGUGAAGUUGGUUGAUGCAUUUGCUAAUUGGCUAAAAUCUGGGCAGAAGACCCUUCAGCAGAUAGGAAGUCUUCCAGCGCCUCCAAUAUCAAUGUUGUCAAACUUGGAUGAGAAGGAGAGGUUCAAAGAUUUAAGAGCCCAGAAGAGUCUAAAUACUAUUAGCCCGAGCUCUGAUGAAGUGAGGGCAUAUUUCCGUAAAGAGGAACUUCUAAGAUAUUCUAUUCCAGAUCGGGCCUUCUCUUACACUGCUGCUGAUGGGAAAAAAUCUAUUGUUGCUCCACUAAGAAGGGGUGGUGGCAAGCCAACAUCAAAAGCUCGGGAUCAUUUUAUGCUUAAGCAUGAUCGCCCACCUCAUGUUACUAUUCUUUGUCUUGUACGUGAUGCAGCUGCCAGAUUGCCUGGGAGUAUUGGAACUAGAGCAGAUGUUUGUACUCUUAUCAGGGAUUCACAAUAUAUUGUUGAAGAUGUCUCUGAUGCACAGGUCAACCAAGUUGUUAGCGGGGCUUUAGACCGGCUGCAUUAUGAACGUGAUCCUUGUGUGCAGUUUGACGGGGAUAGAAAAUUGUGGGUUUAUCUGCAUAGAGACAGGGAGGAGGAAGAAUUUGAGGACGAUGGUACCUCUUCCACUAAGAAAUGGAAAAGGCCAAGAAAAGAUGCUACAGAUCAGUCAGACAUGGGAACAGUUAAUGAUGGGAGCUAUCAUGCAUCUGGAGAUCCAGCUAUGGGUGGUUCUACUGCCAGAUAUCAUUAUGAUCCUGAUCUUAAUAAUAUUAAGUCAUCAUCCAUCAAAGCAGGGGAGAAACCUGAACUUUAUAAUGAUUUGAGGCCCGAUGUGGAGAAUAUCCAGUCUUUUGUUGAUUCUAAACCAGGUACCAGGAACCAAAGCAAUUCACUGAGUUGGGAGGCUCCUGGGUUGAAUCUCCUAGAGGAAAACAAAAUGGUAUGUCAAGAGAACUCCAUGAAUGAAGAUUUUGAUGAUGAAGCUUUUAGCAGAGAAAAGCCAGUUGGGCUCAUGAGUACAAGCUUGUUAUGAAGAAUGGAUGUUCCAUACUCAACAUUUUCAUGUUCCUUGCAGGAUAAAUCUAGGUAAUCCUGAAUUGUGGAUAUGAACUUUGGAUGGAAAAUUGCCACGAGAUUUAAUUCUUUCUUAUUGUGCUACCUUUUUGUUGGAAAUAGUUGAGACAUUGUGGUUAAAAAUGUGGAAAUGUCAUAGAAUGGAAUGUUGUUUGAUACUUACUGACUUCGAAAAAUAAUAUCAUACAAUAUUUUUAUAACUAUAGAGAGUAUGUAGGUCUCUAGCUGAUAUAGCCAAUCAAAGCCAAGAUAUGUGGUUGGCAAGUGACAUAACUUCUUGUUUGAUGAUGAGAAAGGAAAAAUUGGGUUAAUGUGUGACCAUCUAUAUGCAGAAUAUGAUUCUAUGAAACAGGAAACCAUCACGAACAUGUUGUUGUUUUGCCUUGUGAUUAAGGGGACUCACCCUCAUACUUAUCUACAAAUCAUUGUUAAUACUCCCAUAUCUGUUGGAGUGAUACAGGAGAUGGUGUUCAAGUUGGUCCCGUUUACAAGCUGAUGGAAAAUACAGCAGGGAGUAAUUUUGAUUGGUGGAUGCUAUCAUUGGAGACAUGGAGAGCUUGCUAAUUAUAAGUCCAUCAUUCCCUUUGCUUUUGUGUCACCUUAAAUUUAUCUUCAAUAAAUAUGAGAUAAGAAGUCUGGAAAGGGGAGACCAUAAUUAGAACAGAUAUUACAAGAAUAUACAGAAGGGUGCCUGGAUAAUAUCCUUUUAACACUGCAUGAACUCUCCAUGAGUUUCUGUUAACUAUAUCUUUUAUGGUGUCCAUAGCCCUCUUUUAACUAGCAUUAGGUGCCUCUUGGUAAAAUUUAAUCAUAGCCAACAUGCUUCCUUGCAUCCAUAUAUCAUCAUCUUAACAUAUGAGUAUAUGGUCCUUGGAAGUUAAGAAUGCUUUAUCAUUCACCUCUUAACAUAUGUGAACCCUAUGUUAAAUUUUUGGCUAAGACAACUUUGGAGAGAGAAGGCCUCUCAUGUAACUGAGGAGGGUAGUUUCAAGAAUGAGUGACCUACCACUGCUUCCAAAAUAGGAAGCAGCCUUUAAAGUCCCAGACUUGGAAAGUAUCUAAUAGGAAGAGGGAAGAUUAUACAGUUUGGAGAGAGAAGGCCUCUCAUGUAACUAAGGAGGGUAGUUUCAAGCAGGGUCAGAGGAACCGAUACCGGGCACUGUACCGGUUCUCCAGCAGAACGAGUUGGUAUGGGCCGUCCCAGGCCCGUACCGAGAGAGAGCACCUGCCGGAGAUGGAGGAGAAAAGAAAGAGAGAGCGAGCGAGGUAGGGAGGGAAAAGGAGCAACGGCGGACGUCGGUGGAGGGCCGCGGGGGGCAACGGAGGCCAUGGCAGCUGAGGCCGCAGUUUCAAAAUAGGGGAAUUGGCUGCGGCUAAAAAAUUUGAAGAUUUUUAAGUGAAGGCAUUUUUUUUAAAAAUCUCAAAUUUUUUUAAUUUUCGGAUUUUAAGUGAAGUCAGUAAACAAUUUGCCGACUUCACUUAAAAAUUUUCAAAUCUUUUAGCUGCGGUCGGUUUUCCUAUUUCGAAAGAAAUAGAGGACUUGGCCGCGGCCUCCGCUGGCAUCCGCUGCCGUUCUCUUCUCCUUCUCUAACACUGGCAGCGUGCUGGUUUUAAAGCCGAAACCGUACCGGUGAGCCAUUGGUAUGGAUCGGAAUCGGCGGAACCGUCCGGUUCGGGACCGUUCCGCAAUCCAUGGUUUCAAGAAUAAGUGACCUACCUCUGCUUCCAAAAUUUGAGCUCGUGCAAUGGUGCAACCUUCAAAGUCCCAAACUUGGAAAGUAUCUAAUAGAAAAAGGGAAGUAUAUACAGUUUGACAUAUGGGACUAAA